Molecule: ribosomal RNA, 603 nt
Filed under: Triticum aestivum (bread wheat)
Lineage: Eukaryota; Viridiplantae; Streptophyta; Magnoliopsida; Poales; Poaceae
Description: partial small subunit ribosomal RNA
Source: RNAcentral
AUGGACGGGAAGGGCGCGACGGAGAGCUCAAACCCUAACCGCGUCGUUGAGAGCGUACCAUCGGCGGCCGUGGCGUCGGCGUCGGCGCCGACGAAGCGCAUGCUGGCGUUCCACUUCCUGCGCGCGCUGUCCCGGAUCCACGGCGCGGCCGGCCCGGCCAGGCGCCGCACGCGCACCAUCCGCCGCGCGGCCUACUCAUCCAUGGCGCGCGCCACCGGGCCGCGCCGCGCAUGGAGCCGCGCGCUGCUGCUCCAGGCCCAGGCGCGCGCGCGGAGAUCCAGGGCGGAGACGUCGAGGCGGGCCGCGGUGCUCGUACGGCGGCGCGUCGUCGCCGGACCGGCAGCAGCACCAGCACCAGCACGCGCCGCUCCUGUCGGCGGACAAGCAUCGGCGGCGGCUGCUCGUGCGGCUCUGGCCCCUCCGCCCCCUCCGGCAAGGCAGGCGGGGGAGCCGGCGAGGAGCGACGCGCUGCGGCGGCUCGUCCCCGGAGGCGCCGGGAUGGAGUACUGCAGCCUGCUGGAGGAGACCGCCGACUACGUCCGCUGCCUCCGCGCGCAGGUGCAGCUCAUGCAGGGCCUCGCCGACCUCUUCUCCUGCCAAUGA